UAAAAGGGCGGCCGCUGAAGUGGCUCUGAGAACAAAGGAGUUAACAUUCGGACUCCACAGGUGGCCCGGGGUGGCCCUGGAGGAGCCCGCCUUUACCUUGCCCUAGCCCACCGGCGUGUCCCGCAGUUCCGAGCUAAACGCGGCAGGCCGGGAAGGCUCGGGCUGUCUGAAGAGAGGCGUGACCUCGCCUACACCAGAUCCAAGGCGCACAUUCCGAGACACCUCUCAACCUCACUCAACACGUGCCGUUUCCAACUCCGAGGCAGAGGCAGCGCCUGGCGACCCCGGGGCCUGCGUCCCAGCCCGGUCAGCAUCGCAGAUGUUACCCAAACUCUGACGGUCCCUUUAAGAACUCACCUGGAGUCGCGCCCUCCGAAGCUGAGCCGCCGUCGGCCAGCGCUGCAGGCCCCAGCUUAUAAAUCUAUGAAGGUGUCCAGGUCCUGCCAGACUCCACUGCAUCUUUUGCUUUCACUCCAGCAGAGUAGCAGCAUGCUGCCUGUGCCAAGGCAAUCACUAAAAGGAAAGGAUUUAAUGCUGUCAAAAAAGCUUAUGCCAGCUUAGGCUGCAAGAAGAGGAACAGUGUCAAGUAUGUUGAAAGUGGCCAUAUUGGUCAGACCUCCAUGAGAGCCUAGGGGGCAUUGCUUAGCAGCACACUUUUAAAGGAAUCUAAACAAACCAGCAUCUGGAAAGAAGAGAGUAACCACAGCAAUCAGGAAACAACUGUAGAAUCUAGGGCCUUCAUUGGAAAAACAGAAGUCUCCAGGGAGCUGCAGUCGUCAAACAGGCUUAUUCUGUGUGCCCAGUGGGCAAGUACAGUCAAUGGAUGAAAAUUCAACCAAUGGACAAACACAGGAAGUUCUUCCUUAACAUGAGUUGUCAGAAACUGUCCAAAAUUCCGAAGAGCUGCCUCAAGGUAGUGGAAAUUUUUUUUUUUUUUUUUAAUCGGGAAGGUGCUGAAUGAAGCCAGCAAGGAUUCUGUGUCAGAGGGUGGUAGAUACCCAGGACGUAAGGUUGAACUAGGUGACCUCUGAGACCACAGUUCUAAGCUGUUGAAACCUGAGUCCCUGCUGAAUACUGAAAUGGUAUUAGCACCCUUUAGUCUACAUCAAGAAUUCAUGCUACCCAGUUUUAGUGGUACCGAGACUGAUCUCUUUCUCAUAGAUCAUUCUUAACAGAAUAAAAGCUACAGGUUGAAACCAAUUCCCUUUAAAAUGUGGACAGUUUGCCAUCUCCAUGAUGGGCAGUUAGGCACUGAGCUAAUGCUUUUUAAUGGAAGAGCCACCCUAAGUUUCCUGGAUUACGGUAUAAUGGAGUACUAAAUCAGUAUAGGACUAAUAACUGCCUCCCAUGUAAACUGGUCUAUCCGGAGAGUGGUAUAGCCCCUCAUACAGUGUUCAAAGACAGAUUUAACUCACUGCAGGUCCACAGCAACCUAUAAGAUAAACUCAUUAGUUAUGAUCUCCCACUUUGCAAAGGAGGGCACAGAAGAAGAAGAACUGAGAUAACUUGGUUUAGGACACCACAGCUGGCUGGAGCUAGGCUGAACAUUAGUUCAUUGUUUCUUCAACUAAUCUAUGCUGCUUUUUCUCUACUUGGCUCCUUUUCUAAAUUACACAAAACAAAACACUGGGCACAGAGUGGUGUAUACGUGUGUGUGAGGGAGACAGAGAGAGACAGAAAGAGAAAGACUAAGUGAAAGAGAAAAGAGAGAGGCUGAGCGAGACUCAGAUAAAAUAAGGCACAAGUAUUGGGCUAGUCUGUUAUACAGUAUACUUGUCAUAUAUUUGAAUGCCUUUAACAGUGGAGAUAGUUUUGAUGGAAAUAGGACCUUGAAGAAAUAUAUAUCCGCACCCUGGUGGUAUGUUAUAACUAAAUGAGUUGGUUUUUUGUUUCGGAGUUUUUUGGGUUUCUUUUUAAUGCAAAGGUAUAUAUUUAAAAUACUCUAUAGCUUCCUUCUCUCCUUCAUUUCAUUUCCUUGAGUAUGAGAGAGGUUUUCUAGAUGACGGGACAUCCAAACUGGAAGUGCCCUUAGAUCCCAUCAACUCCCAUCCCCAUGUUUGAGAAGCAUGUGAAAUAAACUCCAGAAGAGCUCCCAGACAACGUCAGCACACAAUUAUCAGAGGACUUUUCCCUGAUGGCAGAAAGCUACUGACAUUUCCAAAACAAUCCAUCUUUCUUUUAGAGAGAAGGGGCUGGGGGUAAGGAGAAAUUAGUAAUCUUUUCUAGAGAUACGUUUCUGAGUUUAACCAAAUUUGCUUUUCUGCUUUUGAAGAACUUGUGGUAUUGACAGAACCAUAGGAUCCCAUAUGGAAAUCCUCAGGAUUAUACUAAAAUCUCCUUACAUGAAACAACCUCUUCACCCCACCCCCUGCCAAGAGAAUGACCAUUGUCUGUUCACAGAAGGCUUUGGCCAGGGCCCUUCAGUCAGAUUAUCCUUAUGUAGGUAGAGAACAUAAACUUGGAAACUUAAUUGGAAUUUGAAGAAAUGCUAUUAGAAUUUUAGGAAGUCAUUUGUAUUCCAUUUCUGAGAUGUGACCUGAAUAGAAUUCUGGUAAGUGGAGAAGCCACAAGAUUCUUCAUAAUUAUAUGUGGACUGUGUCCAGUGACCAAUCUCAUUUAGGAUGGAAAACUGUCACAACCUUCCAAAACAAAGACCUGUGUGCCAGUCUUUCAUUUUUGGGAAGUGACACUCACUAGGGCUGUCAUUUUCCUAUUCCUCAUGUUGUAUAACCCUAAAUUCCUUUAUUAUUUUCUUCUGUUUUACACUAACAAGAACGGUAACGAUAAUGAAUCAUUUAAAUCUUGCUAUUUAAAUUUUCUUUAGAUUAAAUUAAUUUCUUCCCAAGACAAUUUUAUCAACUGAGAUUAAAUAUUUAUGAUUAAAGCAUCUUCUGCCUUUUAUAAAUAAAUUGGGCAGCAGUUGAAGAAACUUUUCCAAAUAUGCUUUUUAAAAAUCCUGCAAAAUUUUCCCAAGUUGGAUAUCAUUUCCACAUGAAUAAACAAAGCCAAGCUCAAAGGGAGUAGGAGACAAUAAGUCAAAAAUUUAAAAGGGAUGGGCCAUUACCAAUUACUAAUGAAGAUGAACAAAGCAAUUUAAGAAUAAGAGAGAAGCAAAUAUUUAAUAAGAAAUGGUACCAUAAUAAUUUGGAGAAGCUUGGGUUCAAAAGAGCAGAAUAAAGCUGUAUCUCUAUUCUUUUUUUCUCUUGGAAAAACACUCCAAAAAUAUUAGAACAAAGAGAAACUUGUUCCUCCAUCCUUAAUAAAAAGGAGUGGCUAGGAGCGGUGGCUCACAACUGUAAUCCCAGCACUUUGGGAGCCCAAGGCAGGUGGAUUGCUUGAGGUCAGGAGUUUGAGACCAGCCUUACCAACAUGGUGAAACUCAUCUCUAUUAAAACUACAAAAGUUAGCCAGGCAUGGUGGUGCCCAUCUGUAAUCCCAGCUACUCAGGA
Molecule: long non-coding RNA, 3449 nt
Organism: Pongo abelii (Sumatran orangutan)
Lineage: Eukaryota; Metazoa; Chordata; Mammalia; Primates; Hominidae
Source: Ensembl